RNAcentral lists this long non-coding RNA (1527 nucleotides) under Capra hircus (goat). Its description in RNAcentral is "lncRNA (ENSCHIG00010026423.1)". The record is from RNAcentral. Lineage: Eukaryota; Metazoa; Chordata; Mammalia; Artiodactyla; Bovidae.
CUUAGUUACCUAGCUACAAUCUCCCUUCCAUCAGGGCUUGUACUGCAGACACUCGGAAUGCGAUGACCUGAAGGAAAUGUUAUUACUUCUUGCUGCUUCAGCCCAGAAAGCGUAUUGCUCUGGUGAAAAUAAGAGGGAAGUAUCUGCUCUUUCCCUAAAUCCUGCCAAUGUUGUCCUUAUUAAUGGCCUAGUUUGGUUGUCAGCUAGACAAGCAUUCUGCCAGCACUUCAUCUGAUUUCCAAACUCCAGCCUUGGUCCCCGCUGCACCCCAUCAGGCGGGGACAUGUCGGGUGUUAGAAGGCGUGCAAGACGUGCUAUCUUAAUCCACCUGCUACUCUUCAAACACACACCUCCUCUGAGUAAAACAGAGGUGUGGACUUGUUUGGGCUGAAGAAAAGCCAAUUGAGCAAUACCUCCAUAAAAAUUAUUGGCUGUUGCUGACUUUUUCCAUACUUAAAACAUCUUUUGGAAUAAGUUCUGUAAGACUGCAGCAUUCUCUAAACAAAUACUCAGAAAAAAUAAUUCAGACAGGAAUAAGCUCAAAGGAUAAUCCAAAAUUUAACAUCUGGCAACUACGCUGAACUUCUAGCUUACCUCUGAUUUUAUUAAUUGUGUAUACUCUUUCCUCUUCAUUCAAGAUAACCUGAUAAUAACAGAGGCCUGCGUAUACAAACAUUUUGGGCAUCUAAUCUUCCAAGUGAGGCAGCCAUCCCAGAAGCUCACAUAAUGUUGAUAAGAUGUAUUGCAUCCAUCAAAAACGUAUUUGGUUUUGUGUGUCUCCCCCAACCCUCCAAAACAGUUUAUCAGACCUCUGUCUCCAUAACCACUACCCGAGAACCUCCAAACCUCAGUGCAAGACAUCACCAACUAUAGUUAAGGCCACUGAAACUGACCAUUCUUUUACCAGGUUUUCUGAAGGCUAUUAUACAGAAUGGCUAGUGCUGAAAAUAGUCACAAACAAGAACAGACCUGUGUUUACAUACCCUCUCCCCCAACAUGGAGCACUACUUCAGAAUUGGUUGCAUUUAAGAUGACGUUUCAUACCUCUGGAAAAAAAAAAGGAAGUAAAUGAAGUUCCAUAACUGUUCUGUCCUACAAUAAAGCCAUGGAUGACGACUAGUGAAACUGGGUUAUUACUGCCAAAUCUACAAAGAGCAUGGGAAUAACAGCUGGAAUACGCUGUCCUCCCACUUUCAGUAUUUUAUUUUUCAUUAAGAGUAAUCAUGACUUUUAAGAGAGCAAUGCUUCCGAUUUGGAUUUCUUGUCCAAAUUUAAAAGAAGAAGCAAUUUAAAAGUGAAAGACUGAGAUAAAAUUACCCUGCCCCGAGACCUGCUAGUACACUGGAUAAAAUCUUUAUCCCAAACCAAAGUUGUAACUUACAAAUAGAAUAAAAAUUUUUAAUAGGAACUAUUCAGAGCUUCCUGCUAUGGUAUGAUAUGGUUAGCCCUUUUCUGUACAGAAGAAAGGGUGUUUCUUUCGGAUGGCUUAUGGAUAGUAGAUUUGAAUAACCUCUCCAGGGGAGAGUA